GGAAUUGAAUAUGUUCUCAAACAGUGUCACUGGCACACGCCUUCUGAGCACACCAUCGAUGGCAGGAAUUUUUCUCUAGAGCUGCAUAUGGUUCAUGAGAGUCAAGAUGGAAAGAUUGCUGUGGUUGGGAUUUUGUACACAAUAGGAAGUCCAGACUCUUUCUUGUCAUCUCUCACAGAACAUUUAAGAUUGGUAGCUGGCCCCAAAGAAGCAGAGACAGUGGUGGGUAUUGUUAAUCCGAACGACAUCGAGACAGGCACAAAGUAUUAUAGAUACAUGGGAUCUCUUA
Molecule: unclassified non-coding RNA, 289 nt
Filed under: Hevea brasiliensis (rubber tree)
Lineage: Eukaryota; Viridiplantae; Streptophyta; Magnoliopsida; Malpighiales; Euphorbiaceae
Source: RNAcentral